This 645-nucleotide ribosomal RNA is filed under the name uncultured Methylobacter sp. Its description in RNAcentral is "bacterial SSU rRNA". It matches the Rfam family "Bacterial small subunit ribosomal RNA", at positions 9 to 652 of the family's 1533-position model. Lineage: Bacteria; Pseudomonadati; Pseudomonadota; Gammaproteobacteria; Methylococcales; Methylococcaceae. The record is from RNAcentral.
GAGUUUGAUCCUGGCUCAGAUUGAACGCUGGCGGUAUGCUUAACACAUGCAAGUCGAACGGUAGCAGGCCUUCGGGCGCUGACGAGUGGCGGACGGGUGAGUAACGCGUAGGAAUCUGCCUCAUAGUGGGGGACAACGUGGGGAAACUCACGCUAAUACCGCAUACGCCCUACGGGGGAAAGCGGGGGCUCGUAAGACCUCGCGCUAUGAGAUGAGCCUGCGUUAGAUUAGCUAGUUGGUAGGGUAAAGGCCUACCAAGGCGACGAUCUAUAGCUGGUCUGAGAGGACGAUCAGCCACACUGGGACUGAGACACGGCCCAGACUCCUACGGGAGGCAGCAGUGGGGAAUAUUGGACAAUGGGCGCAAGCCUGAUCCAGCAAUACCGCGUGUGUGAAGAAGGCCCUAGGGUUGUAAAGCACUUUCAAUGGGGAGGAAAACCUGCCGGUCAAUACCCGGUAGCUUGACAUUACCUUUAGAAGAAGCACCGGCUAACUCCGUGCCAGCAGCCGCGGUAAUACGGAGGGUGCGAGCGUUAAUCGGAAUUACUGGGCGUAAAGCGUGCGUAGGCGGUUCGUUAAGUCAGAUGUGAAAGCCCCGGGCUCAACCUGGGAACUGCAUUUGAAACUGGCGAACUAGAGUUGAGU